UGGGGAAUCUUGCGCAAUGGGCGAAAGCCUGACGCAGCGACGCCGCGUGAGCGAUGAAGGCCUUCGGGUUGUAAAGCUCUGUGGGGAGAGAAGAAUAAGUGCAAGCUAAUACCUUGCAUGAUGACGGUAUCUCUUUAGCAAGCACCGGCUAACUCUGUGCCAGCAGCCGCGGUAAGACAGAGGGUGCAAACGUUGUUCGGAAUCACUGGGCGUAAAGCGUGUGUAGGCGGUGAAGUAAGUCGGAUGUGAAAGCCCCAGGCUCAACCUGGGAAGUGCAUUCGAUACUGCUUCGCUAGAAUAUCGGAGAGGUUGGUGGAAUUCUCGGUGUAGAGGUGAAAUUCGUAGAUAUCGAGAGGAACAUCGGUGGCGAAGGCGGCCAACUGGACGAAUAUUGACGCUGAUACACGAAAGCGUGGGGAGCAAACAGG
This 428-nucleotide ribosomal RNA is filed under the name uncultured bacterium. RNAcentral's name for it is "bacterial SSU rRNA". It matches the Rfam family "Bacterial small subunit ribosomal RNA", at positions 355 to 776 of the family's 1533-position model. The record is from RNAcentral.